AUUGAACGCUGGCGGCAGGCCUAACACAUGCAAGUCGAACGGUAACAGAAAGCAGCUUGCUGCUUUGCUGACGAGUGGCGGACGGGUGAGUAAUGUCUGGGAAACUGCCUGUUGGAGGGGGAUAACUACUGGAAACGGUAGCUAAUACCGCAUAACGUCGCAAGACGAAAGAGGGGGACCUUCGGGUCUCUUGCCAUCGGAUGUGCCCAGAUGGGAUUAGCUAGUAGGUGGGGUAACGGCUCACCUAGGCGACGAUCCCUAGCUGGUCUGAGAGGAUGACCAGCCACACUGGAACUGAGACACGGUCCAGACUCCUACGGGAGGCAGCAGUGGGGAAUAUUGCACAAUGGGCGCAAGCCUGAUGCAGCCAUGCCGCGUGUAUGAAGAAGGCCUUCGGGUUGUAAAGUACUUUCAGCGGGGAGGAAGGGAGUAAAGUUAAUACCUUUGCUCAUUGACGUUACCCGCAGAAGAAGCACCGGCUAACUCCGUG
This 490-nucleotide ribosomal RNA is filed under the name uncultured bacterium. RNAcentral's name for it is "partial 16S ribosomal RNA". It matches the Rfam family "Bacterial small subunit ribosomal RNA", at positions 30 to 507 of the family's 1533-position model. The record is from RNAcentral.